Molecule: RNA transcript, 2538 nt
Organism: Panicum virgatum (switchgrass)
Lineage: Eukaryota; Viridiplantae; Streptophyta; Magnoliopsida; Poales; Poaceae
Gene name: nudC domain-containing protein 2-like
Exons: 6
Source: RefSeq, a predicted model, not a curated record
CGAAAUAAAAUUAAAAUUCUGAUGUGGCAUGGGCGCAUGGCAAGUGAAGAAAGGAGAGAACGAAACACAGAAAAAAAAACGGUGUCGCGUGCCGGAAACCGGGUCGAACCAACAAGCGAGUUGGGCGUUGGGACGAUCGAUCCAUCGUUUCUUCCCAAAACGCAUUUUCCUCGACCUCCCGAUCGAUCUGCGGUGCCCGCCUCCGCCCUGACGCAGGUGGUGCGCCAAGAGCCAGCGGUCCUCCUGCUGUCGUUGCUGCCCGAGGUUUCCCCAACCCCGAAGGGCCCAGCGGCGGCGUGGUCAUCCCCUCCAUCCCGUCGACACCGCCAGACCUUGCCUGCGGCGGCGGCGGACAAUCCCACCAACGGCGGCUCCUGGAGGCUGAACUAGCUGCGCGCGCUGUGCCCGACUGGCGACUGUCCGUGCGGUCGGCGCUGGCGGCUUGGCGCACUGCAGUGCUGCUGCCUGCUGGUGCCAGCGUGCAUCCCAGCGGUGCGGCGUGGGAGCGGGAGUGCGGCACGCCGGUGCGUCGCCUUGCGAAGGCGAAUCUCCGCCGCACGCGCUCGUAGAAGCAGCCAAGCAGAAAUUUAAGAUCGCUGAUCCUUGUACAUGCAUGAAGGAUUGAACGUAACUAUUUUUUUUUCUGUGGAAACUGCCAUAGACACUUAGCAUUGCUGAAGGUUAUGUCUAAUGGAUUAUGGAUAUUUAUUCUCUUCUCUAGUAGUUUAGUUAUCAAGAUGAAUGUAUUAAUAUUGAAUUGGUCCUUGCACAUAUAAUCUACCACCGAACUUCAUUCGAUAGCAAAUUGCAUGCAAAGCCUUAUAUGUUGCCAUUCAAGUGAGGGAAUUAGCUUUCUCUUUUAUGUAGCUGUUCAUAAUUUGGUUAAAUUGAUUAAUUUGUAUUCAUUGUGGUACAUUUUGAUUUAUGUAUAUUCAUCUGUAGGACUUAACAGUUGAAUAAAACAUGCCAUGCUGAAAAGCAUACAGCACUGUAAUUAUCCUGGGCCAACAUACCAGCUUCUUCCCAAUUUGCUCCAGGAAGGCUCUAGAUACAUUUAUUUUUACCUAGCCAUUUCCAGGAGUAAUCCAUGUACUGCUCCUCAACAGUUUUAUUAUUUUGGUUAGGGCUACCAUGAUCCAGCAAGACACUUACCCUUGUAAUAGCAUCAUUCUCAUGUUGUCAAAUUUCCAUCAGCGUGAUCCAAUAGCUCAACAAAAAAUGGAUAGAAGACCCCAACCUAUGUAGAACCAUAAUGAUGCAAAAAUGUUAUUGUCGCUAAAAAUAAAAUGCAAGUCUUAUUAGAUCACAUCGCUCAUCAGACACAUUCUGUAACAACAAUAAUAGCCAGUCUGGACUAGAAUAAUAGCCAUAGGCCAUGUCUUGCUCUUCCUUCUUUUUCUAUAACUCUUACUCGUAUCCUUUGUCUCCUCCCCGAUUCUAUUGUGCUUCCAGGAUAGAAGGAGGAGGCAUCUGCACACCUACAAGGCAACAAGGGAUACCAGGAAGGGCAACCUCUUGGGCCUUGGCAGUUUAUCGAUGGUAUUUGGUUAUUAGAGUGAGCAGUCUUCGAGGGCACUUCACCUGUUCUUGAGCAGGGUCUCGGACGCCCCAGAGUCCAGAACCUUCUAGAAGCAUCAGGAUAGCUAGAGCAUUGCUCCAACCCCAGCACCAGCCAUGUCGGAGAAGCUGGCCCCUGGGAAGCGCCACGCCUUCAUGCACAAUGGGCAGAAGGUGUUCGAGUGGGACCAGACACUGGAGGAGGUGAACAUGUACAUUGAGCUCCCCAAGGGCGUACCCACCAAGCUCUUCCGCUGCACCAUCCAGGCGGGCCACAUGGAGGUUGGCAUCCGUGGCAACCCGCCAUACCUUAUUACCUCAACCACAACCUGGCGCACCCCGUGAAGACAGACUCCUCGUUCUGGACAAUAGAGGAUGGUGAGAUGCAUAUCACACUGCAAAAAAGAGAGAAAGGGAAGACAUGGUCAUCUCCAAUACAAGGGCAAGGUCUCUUGGAUCCAUAUGCUGCAGAUCAAGAGCAAAAACGGCUUAUGCUGCAAAGGUUUCAAGAAGAGAACCCAGGGUUCGACUUUUCUCAGGCUCAGUUCAGUGGAACCUGCCCUGACCCAAGGACCUUCAUGGGAGGAAUACGCUCCGACUGAAACGUCCAGCCUGAACGGCGUAAUUCUUGCUAUGUUCCUGCUGCUAUCUUCAGCAUCUUGUUAGAUGCAGCAGCCGUAGCUAAUGUCCUAAUCCUUACGUAAAUUGGUUGGUGUUUUUUUUUGAGAGCCAAAAUUGGUUGGUGUUUACCCUUGAAAUAAUGAAUUAGUGAUGAUGUGUGACCCAUUCCAUAACUCUGUUUGUGAAUUCAGCUGAUUGUAAAUAUCCCUGAACCGGGCAACCUGUGCUUGUUUACCCCCGAGCUAGUUCUAGCUAUAGGGUCAUCAUUCGGUGCUCGAGUAAUCGUUGAUGGAUCAGUAUUUGGGAGAAUUGAUGACGUGGCAGUCUAAAUUGGCUUCCGGGAUGUUCCACUGUCUUAAA